RNAcentral lists this ribosomal RNA (253 nucleotides) under uncultured bacterium. Its description in RNAcentral is "partial 16S ribosomal RNA". It matches the Rfam family "Bacterial small subunit ribosomal RNA", at positions 524 to 776 of the family's 1533-position model. The record is from RNAcentral.
UACGUAGGGGGCUAGCGUUGUCCGGAUUUAUUGGGCGUAAAGAGCGUGUAGGCGGCCAGGUAGGUCCGGUGUGAAAACUCGAGGCUUAACCUCGAGAUGUCAUCGGAAACCAUCUGGCUAGAGUCCGGAAGAGGAGAGUGGAAUUCCUGGUGUAGCGGUGAAAUGCGCAGAUAUCAGGAAGAACACCCGUGGCGAAGGCGGCUCUCUGGGACGGUACUGACGCUGAGACGCGAAAGCGUGGGGAGCGAACAGG